Molecule: ribosomal RNA, 2127 nt
Filed under: Triticum aestivum (bread wheat)
Lineage: Eukaryota; Viridiplantae; Streptophyta; Magnoliopsida; Poales; Poaceae
Description: partial small subunit ribosomal RNA
Source: RNAcentral
AUGGCGGAGGUGGUGGUCACCAUGGCUAUCCGGCCAUUGGUGUCCAUGGUGAUGAACAAGUCAUCCAGCUACUUGCUGGACCAGUACAAGGUGAUGGAGGGAAUGGAGAAGCAGCACAAGAUUCUCGAACGCAAACUUCCAGCCAUCCUUGACGUCAUCACUGAUGCCGAGGAGCAGGCGACAACCCACAGGGAAGGGGUGAAAGCCUGGCUCCAGGAGCUCAAGACAGUCGCCUAUCAGGCAAAUGAAGUCUUUGAUGAGUUCAAGUAUGAAGCACUCCGCCGUGAAGCCAAAAAGAAUGGGCACUAUGCCAAGCUUGGUUUUGAUGCAGUAAAACUGCUCCCUACUCACAGCCAUAUUGUAUUCCGCCGCAGAAUGGGUCGCAAGCUUUGCCAGAUUCUAGAGACCAUUGAGGGCCUCAUAGCUGAUAUGCAGGCCUUUGGGUUCAAGAACCAACCACAACUGGUUUCAAAGGAGUGGAGGAAGACAGAUUAUGUUAUCAUUGACCCACGAGAAAUUGCCGGUAGAUCCAGACAUGAAGACAAGAAGACUAUUGUUGAUAUACUACUGGGUGAAGCUAGCAACUCAGAUCUUGCAGUUGUUCCCAUCGUUGGAAUGGGGGGGCUUGGCAAGACCACGUUAGCACAGCUCAUAUACAAUGAACUAGGAAUUCAGAAGCAUUUCCAGUUGUUGUUGUGGGUUUGUGUCUCUGAUACCUUUGAUGUGAACUCCCUAGCCAAUAAUAUAGUUGAAGCAUCUCCCAAGAGAAAUGAUGAUAUGGAGAAACCACCACUGGAGAGACUUCAGAAAUUGGUCAAGGGGCAGCGAUAUCUCCUUGUAUUAGAUGAUGUCUGGAACAGAGAGGUCCAUAAGUGGGAAAGGCUGAAGUCUUGUCUUCAGCAUGGUGGCAAUGGUAGUGCAGUGUUGACAACAACUCGUGAUAAACAAGUUGCUGAAAUUAUGGGUGCAAGUAGAACCUACAAUCUCAAUGUUUUGAAUGACAACUUCAUAAAGGAAAUUAUUAUGGCUAGAGCAUUCAGUUUAGAGAAAGAAAAUCCUGCAGAGCUAGUCAGGAUGGUUGAUGAGAUUGUGAAGAGAUGUUCUGGAUCUCCAUUAGCUGCAACGGCAUUGGGCUCUGUACUACGCACCAAGACCAGCGUGGAAGAAUGGGAGGCUAUAUCAUCCAGAAGCAGCAUUUGCACCGAGGAAACUGGAAUAUUGCCAAUACUCAAGCUUAGCUACAACGACUUACCAUCACACAUGAAGCAGUGCUUUGCUUUCUGUGCUGUAUAUCCCAAGGAUUACAAGAUUGAUGUGGAGAAGUUGAUCCAACUUUGGAUCGCAAAUGGCUUUAUCCCAGAGCACAAUGAAGAUAGUCUUGAAACCAUUGGAAAACAUAUUUUUGAUGAGCUGGCCUCAAGGUCAUUCUUUCUGGACAUAGAGGAAUUUAAGGGCGACAGAGAGUAUUGCUUCAGAACUACAUGUAAAAUCCAUGAUCUUAUGCAUGAUAUUACAAUAUCUGUUAUGGGAAAGGAAUGUCUUGUUGCAACUAAGGAACCAAGUCAAAACAAGUGGCUUCCAGAUACUGCUCGUCAUUUGUUCUUGUCCUGUGAAGAAACAAAAGGCAUUUUGAAUGAUUCUAUGGACAAAAGAUCCCCUGCUAUCCAAACUCUGCUAUGUGAUAGUUCCGUGCGAAGCGCAUUGCAGCAUCUAUCAAAAUGUACCUCUUUGUGUGCCUUGAAGCACUGUAUAAAGACAACAUUAUUUCUACUGAAACCAAAGUACCUUCAUCAACUGAGGUACCUUGAUCUCUCGAAAAGUUCUAUCAAAUCACUUUCUGAAGAUAUAAGUAUUCUAUAUAACCUACAAACGUUGGACCUUUCCAAUUGCUCUGAUCUUGAGCAGCUUCCAAGUCAAAUGAAGUAUAUGACUUCCCUCCGUCACCUCUACACUCAUGGAUGCUGGAGUUUGAAGAGCAUACCGCCAGAAAUAGGAAAACUCACUAACCUGCAGACACUCACAUGUUUUGCAGCAGGAGUUAAUGGACAUGAUUGUAGUGAUGUUGCAGAGCUGCAAGGUUUAAACCUUUGUGGUCAGUGUCACGCCCAAGAUGCGACCCUAUCCUAA